Molecule: ribosomal RNA, 255 nt
Filed under: uncultured bacterium
Lineage: Bacteria
Description: partial 16S ribosomal RNA
Rfam family: Bacterial small subunit ribosomal RNA
Source: RNAcentral
UACGUAGGGCGCAAGCGUUUGUCCGGAAUUAUUGGGCGUAAAGAGCUCGUAGGCGGCCUGUUGCGUCCGCUGUGAAAUCCCGGGGCUCAACCCCGGGCCUGCAGUGGAUACGGGCUGGCUAGAGGCAGGCAGGGGAGAACGGAAUUCCUGGUGUAGCGGUGAAAUGCGCAGAUAUCAGGAGGAACACCGGUGGCGAAGGCGGGUCUCUGGGCCGAUACUGACGCUGAGGAGCGAAAGCGUGGGGAGCGAAACAGG